CCUACGGGCGGCAGCAGUGGGGAAUAUUGGACAAUGGGGGCAACCCUGAUCCAGCCAUGCCGCGUGUGUGAAGAAGGCCCUCGGGUUGUAAAGCACUUUCAGUGAGGAAGAACGCCUGGUGGUUAAUACCCAUCAGGAAAGACAUCACUCACAGAAGAAGCACCGGCUAACUCCGUGCCAGCAGCCGCGGUAAUACGGAGGGUGCGAGCGUUAAUCGGAAUUACUGGGCGUAAAGCGCGCGUAGGUGGCUUGAUAAGCCGGUUGUGAAAGCCCCGGGCUCAACCUGGGAACGGCAUCCGGAACUGUCCAGCUAGAGUGCAGGAGAGGAAGGUAGAAUUCCCGGUGUAGCGGUGAAAUGCGUAGAGAUCGGGAGGAAUACCAGUGGCGAAGGCGGCCUUCUGGACUGACACUGACACUGAGGUGCGAAAGCGUGGGUAGCAAACAGGAUUAGAUACCCUAGUAGUC
This 465-nucleotide ribosomal RNA is filed under the name Vreelandella stevensii. RNAcentral's name for it is "partial 16S ribosomal RNA". It matches the Rfam family "Bacterial small subunit ribosomal RNA", at positions 338 to 795 of the family's 1533-position model. Lineage: Bacteria; Pseudomonadati; Pseudomonadota; Gammaproteobacteria; Oceanospirillales; Halomonadaceae. The record is from RNAcentral.